Molecule: unclassified non-coding RNA, 240 nt
Filed under: plant metagenome
Description: partial contains small subunit ribosomal RNA, internal transcribed spacer 1, and 5.8S ribosomal RNA
Source: RNAcentral
UUUCCGUAGGUGAACCUGCGGAAGGAUCAUUACUGAGUUAGGGUCUUUAUGGCCCGACCUCCAACCCUUUGUUUAAUCUACCAUGUUGCUUUGGCAGGCCCGCUUAGAAAUGGGCCGCCGGAGACCUUUGAAUCUCUGGUCAGUGCCUGCCAGUAGCCUUUCUAAAUUCGUUUAUAACCGUGUCUGAAUAUACAAAGAAAAAUUAAAAUAAAACUUUCAACAACGGAUCUCUUGGUUCUG